AGUGAACGCUGGCGGUAGGCCUAACACAUGCAAGUCGAACGGCAGCACAGUAAGAGCUUGCUCUUACGGGUGGCGAGUGGCGGACGGGUGAGGAAUACAUCGGAAUCUACUUUUUCGUGGGGGAUAACGUAGGGAAACUUACGCUAAUACCGCAUACGACCUACGGGUGAAAGCAGGGGAUCUUCGGACCUUGCGCGAUUGAAUGAGCCGAUGUCGGUUUAGCUAGUUGGCGGGGUAAAGGCCCACCAAGGCGACGAUCCGUAGCUGGUCUGAGAGGAUGAUCAGCCACACUGGAACUGAGACACAGUCCAGACUCCUAGGGGAGGCAGCAGUGGGGAAUAUUGGACAAUGGGCGCAAGCCUGAUCCAGCCAUACCGCGUGGGUGAAGAAGGCCUUCGGGUUGUAAAGCCCUUUUGUUGGGAAAGAAAAGCAGCAGGUUAAUACCCCGCUGUUCUGACGGUACCCAAAGAAUAAGCACCGGCUAACUUCGUG
RNAcentral lists this ribosomal RNA (492 nucleotides) under uncultured bacterium. Its description in RNAcentral is "partial 16S ribosomal RNA". It matches the Rfam family "Bacterial small subunit ribosomal RNA", at positions 29 to 507 of the family's 1533-position model. The record is from RNAcentral.